GUACAGGUAUUUGCGUGAAUGUUUAUGUGUAUAUACAUUUUUUCCAACCCAUUAUGAUUUUAAAAGCUGUUUAAUAUGAAUCUGGUAAUUUAAAAGUGUGAAAUCCAGGGAUGAUAUGAGAGGAUUUUUUUGUGUAGUGUGACCUUCAGGUACUUGGUUUGGGGCACAGAUGAAGAUAGAGAUGAGGAGAAUCUGAGUUGGGACAUUCUGAAAGUGAUAUAGAGGGAGAGAUAUUCUAGGUAUACAAAGUUCUAGUGUAUUCAAUGGGAGCAGCAACCCCUUACUCAUUCACUUCUUAAAAGUCUUCAACUCAGUUUACUGGGAGAUCUUCUUUGAAAAAAUGCCAAUAUAUUAUCCAUUUAAUUAUGUAAAUUUAAAAUACUUAUUUUUUUAAAGCUUACACAGCUAUUUUUGUAGAUAUUAUCUGGUUUCACAAAAUCAGAGAUUUUUAGGUAGUACUUUAAUCAGCAACUUUCUUUUCCUGAGUUUGAUUCAAUUAGUUCUUCAGCAAGAGGUCAUGGUCAUUGCUGACAUUUUCUCGGUUGUAGCAUUCUUUCUUUUAGAAUCUGAGUCUCUGGACAAUAAGAAUCUGUGCAACCAGGGAGGGAAAAUUAGCUUGUGUUAGAUUUCCAUAUUCCCAGGGAAGUUCAUGUCUUCGCUUUGUAAAAGCUCUCCCUGUGGUUUAUAGUUUGUGCCUUUCUCCUUUAGGGCUCAAGUGUCUGUUUCCUUCAAAAUUUACUGCAUUUCUGAAAAGAAAAGCUAGUACAACUAUUUUUAUGUGGAUGUGUCCAUACUAGACAAAAAUAUUUUAACUUCAUUCGUAUCAAAACCUAAGAUAUUUGCAGAUCUUUUUCAUUAGAAGGCUAAUGGCUCAUUUGAACAUCUGUUUCUUUGUUUUCCUUUAGGGAUUUCCAACUAUUCCCUAACCUCUGAGUGAGUGUGACAAAAAUUACUCUACUGCUCUGUGUUAAUGUGAUAUAACAUGAAAUGUAUAAUCAGAUGCUCCUUUCUAAUAGACAUCUCAAUCUCAGCAUAUCCAAAGCUGAACUGCUGAUAUCCAAACCCCAGGCCACAUGCCCUACCACCCCCCUCCCCUCUGGCAGCAACCUGCUAUUUUCUCCGCCUUUUCAAUACCAGUUGAUGACAGCACCAUCUUUCCAGCAAUCCCCAUAUCACCUUGGCCCACACCAUCCUGGUCUACCUUCUCUAUCUUACCCUACUUGACUUUUUCUUUUCCCCAUAGCACUUAUCAUCUCGUAACACACUAUAUGAUUUACUCAUUCAUAAUGUGUAUUGUCUAUUGUCUGUCUUUCUGAAUUAGAAUUUAAGAUUUCUCAAAGGCACAAGGGCAAGGAUCUUUGACCCAAAUGUCUAAAAUAGUGCCUCCUUGGAGGGCAAACAAUAAAUAUUUGUAAAUAAAGGAUGAAAUAAGCAAUGAAAAUAUUCCAUAAGAGAUUCUUGAGUUGGCUAUUUUUAUUGUUUGGAAGUAGCUAGAAGUAAUCAAUAUCAAAUAAUCCCUUGCUGACUAUCCAAGUUAGAAUUAUCCCAGAUUUGCUAUGAUUUGGCUGUAAAAAUAAGAGUGAGCUGAGUUCGGAUGGUUUCUAAGGACAUCCAGCAAGUAAAACAAAGUGUAAGGACUAGAAGAAUGCUUUCUAAUUUACCAAUAGUUAAUUUUUGAUAGAUCUCUGAUAUGCAACACUUCGAGAACUGGUGCACGUAGAAAAAGACGUUCGCUAUGGUCUUGAAAAAAAUCCAGUUGAUAUUUUGCUGCCAUUCUUCUAAUUCAGUAUGGUCACCUUAUUCAAAGAGCUCUGCUCUGAUCCUGACAAUACUCAAUACAUUUGGAUGAUUAAAUUUUUUUCUGCUUAAACUCUCUCAUCUCAGCUGUAGAAAUUAGAAUUAGGUAGUUUUGCUUUGUUUCUGGCCCUAAGCAAGAAAAUAAAUUUGUUUUCAUUAAAAUUUUUCUUAGAACAUGGGGGAAAAAGUAAUGAGAAGAAAGAAUUCAUAUUUCAUUUUCUUUUCAGACAAGACAGAAGCCUAUUAUUGUUUAUAAGAUAAAUUGUAUAGAGAAUUUGUGGGAUGCCAAAGUUGAAUUUUAUAGUGAAAAGAAUUAUCAUUUUGGUUUUUCCAGAAAGACUGGCUUUUACUUAAUGUGUUUGAUUAAAGAGUUUGAAUGUCAGAUACAUUGUUUUGAGUGACAUUAAUUCAUUUUCUAUACUUUAGUUUGUAGGACCAGUGUUUCAAUUUAUAUGAUGAUCUGCUUCAAAUUGACAUAAUAGAAAUUGUUAGAGUUUUAGAACCAAUGGGACAGGAAUAAAAUGAUUAAACAACUUAUAAUCUGUGGUUCUAUAUUCUGAUGGAAACCAUCUGAAGAUUUAUACAACUUCAGAAUUGGAAGGAACUUGAAGAUCUAUUUCAAAAAACUAAUUUUAUAUUGGUCGGAGCUAUGACUAAGAGACAUUCCAUGACUUGCCCAAAGGUUUCCCAUCACACAGCUAGUUAGUGGCAGGACCAGAGCUAGACCCAAGCAUGAUGACCAAUGGGGCAGAACUUUUUCAUGGUGUAGUUUGCUUUAUAUGAUUUUUUCCUUCUUAAUAUCAGUUUAAUUUUAUUAUUGAUAUUAUCAUUGGAAUAUGAAUUCUGUCAUGUUUAAAAUUUCACUUGUUACUUUUGAUGUUUUUAAAAAACAUGUUUAAAAUAAGUUUUGUGAAUAUUUGUGCUUUCUUUUUCUGGUUCCUUUUGAAAAAAAAGAGCCCUUGUCUGAAUAUAUAUGGUUGCUGUUCAUAUAUUCAAAACCAAGCCUUUCAAGAAUUCGAGAUAUAUCAUAGUUUAUUGUGUUAUUUUCCAUUCGUGGGAUGUUUGCCUCCUGGUUAAAUUUCUCUUUUCUUCUGUGGUAGUUAUGCUCGACUUACCUUUUCAGUCUCUGCGUUCUGGAUGGUGACUGAGCAAUCGAAGGACAGUAGAGGUUUAAACCAGAUUUAGGUGCUGUGCUAAUGGUUGUGUCCAUUUUAACUUUCCAGAAGCUGAAUUUUGAGCUGAAGGAUCUGCGACCUUGGAACCUGACUUUCUGCUUUAGCUUGGCUGUUGAGAACGUUCUUGAUUGUGGAGAAGUAAUUCCUACUAGGAAGCAAUUUGUAUCCAAGAGCUAUCAUGUUUCAAACAGCAUUAGUAGAAGCAUUUAGCAGUGCUGAUCAACUUGGAUAAAUUUGGAAGAGAAAACAGAGAUUUGUAAAUUAUUAUGGGAAACAGAAUCUGCAGAUUGGUGGGAGGAGGGAAAAAAGACUAGAGGAGGAAGGAAGCCAUAUCCUAAAAAGACAAGAGCUUGGUUAUAUACUGGCGGUGUUGUAGGGAGAGAGAAAAUUGCACUAAGCUGCUCUAGUGUCCGGCUCCCUCUGGAAAGCACUGUGAUUUGGGGUAAAAUAGCCUCGGAUGGCGAGCAAGCAGAAUUAAAGCCCAUCAACCCAGGAGCGCCUGGCUGACAAGUCCAGCAGUAAUGGUGAGGAGAGACAGCAGUUGAUCUGGAAUCAACCGAAACCUGGUUCCAGAGCUUGGUAGGUGCUAACUGCAAGGACAUACCUUGAGGAAGGAGUUUCUUGCACCAAGAAUUGGAUCUUCAGGAGGGAGCAAGCUAUGAUAAGGAGGAUGAUGAAACACGGGAAGCUGUUAGGCCUGAGCAGGGAAACAAACAUACUUUACGAUCUGAUAGGUCAGCCCGGGAAGGACAUAACCCCAGAAAUUGUGGGCGAUGUAAACUAGCUUGUAUAUGUUAGGUCUCCCUAGACUUUUCAGUGUGUAGACACAGUGUAUCUUGUUAGUAUUAGAUAUGUUCAUUAUGGCAGGUGUCUGUUAGUAAUCUGUCUAUUGUCAAUCCUUCUCUCUCUGGUUCCCUUUCCCUCAUUAGAUUUUGCUGGAUAGAAGAGUGACUGUACUGCCUAUUGUUCCACACUGUUCCAUACCCUGCCCACCCAACUUAACAAUUGCACCCCCACCCCCAUCUCCACCCUCUAGCAAGCUCCCUACCUGGCCCUAUUUCUAUCCCCUUGGCAUUUAUCAUCAUCUAAUAUUCUAUAUAAUUUACCUACAUAUUAUAUUUAUAAUUUAUUAUCCAUCUUCUCCUCCCGGAAUGUCAGCCCCAUGAGGGUGGAGGAUGUUGUCUGUUCUCAGUUUUUGUUUCCCGAAUGCCUAGAACAGUGCGUGAGGGCUUAGGAAGUUAUUGAAUGACUAAAUUUUGACUAAAUUGUUGGGCCCCUCAAUAAAUAUCUUGAUUAGUGGCAUACAUCUGAUGGUUCUGUCAUUCUCUGUUCCUUGCAAGUAGGGCUGCAAAGCCAGAUUUUAAAAUUAGCAUAGUCUCUUGUUUCUCUCUGAGUUGGGGGCAAGUACAACAGGAUUGGCCUGAAAGGAGAGAGAUAACAUAAAUUAAGAUGGGAGUGGCCUGGGACCCAGAAAGACUGAAGCACAAUUUAAAGGUCUUUCUGCUCGAGUUGACUCUAAUUCGAAAAGGCCCAGAAUUUCCCUCAGUGUCCAGCUUACAGUUAGGAGACCUUGCGUAUAGUUUUGUUUCUGUCACAAAUGUACUACUUGAUGUUGAACAGAUUACUGUAUUUGUUUCAUUGUUUAUGAGAUGAGGGUAAUAAAAGUUUACCUUUUUGUGUUGCAUAAAGCUUUUUAAGAUAACAACAUGAGAUACAGUAAAAUACUUUAAAAAGUUGAAGAUGCUAAACAUUUGUAAACACAUUAUUAUUAUUAAAGCUUUUAUCUUUAAAUCUUUUCCCUAAGAUACCAUAUCCCAAUGUGUAGGCCAAGAUUUUAAGGCUUGAUAUAUAAUUGUUUUAGCUAAUAUUGUUUGCUUAGUUUCUAUAUGAGACAUUUCCUGGUUUAGAAUAUCAAUGAGUUUUUGUAUGAUACUUAUUUUGUAUCUUCUUCAUUCAGAUAUGAACAUAAGUUACUCCACCGGCAAUCAGAAAAUGAUGUUUGACUAUUUAUGAUCACUGACUUGGGCUGAGAAAAUCCUGGAUUUGAAGUGAGGAGUGGGAUGGAGGUUGCAUAGAGCGCCUGUGGGGGAAGCCUUGGCAGGUACCGAGGAAUGAGUUUGGCAGGAACUAGCCCAUCAGGUGCAUGGGCCAUAAAAUGAGGCCAUGAGGGACGCAGUGUUCCUGAUGACAGUGUUAAAUCCGUUUCAAAUAAAGUGAACUGUUUGCUUAAACUUUCCUGUGUUCCCUCAGACCUUUGGCGCUGAGAACCAACUCAAUAUAGAAAUUAGCUCACCCAGAGACUGCGGGGCAGAAAGACUCAAAGUACAGACUGUUGUGUCAAAAUUGUGUUUAGUAACACAAAACUCUCAGGAAAUAUUUGCCGUGUUGCUUUUUAGAACUUUCUAGUGUGAACAAAAUUUCCUCUUCUUCUGUUACAGCUCUAUUAUAUCUUAUCAAUCAUAUUCUUUUAGCAUAACAUUUGAAACAAAGUUUUUACCUGAUGAAAUACAUAUGUAUUCAGCUUUCUGACAAACCUCUGCUCUUUUAAUUUUAAUUUUUUGUUAAAAUUAUGCAAAGAAAAUUGCAUCCCAAGGAAGCAUUGAUUAUACCUAUUCUCAUGGUUAUUUCGUGUUUUAUUUUUAUUUUUAUGUGAAUUCUUUUUCGACGACCUUUUCUUCAGUGAAGAUUGUUUCAAGUAAAGCUGUCUGAUAUAGAGACAUGGUUGCUAGGGAGACAGAGUCAUAAUGGCUGAUGUUACCAGGGAAGGUAAAGCGGUGAGUCCCUGAUUAUAGAAGAGAACAAUUUUUCAUUCUCCUUGAAAGCGAGUCUUCUUUAUACACAGAUGACAAGUUCACUAACUCAGUAGAAAUAAGACUUCAGAAAGAAAUAUUAAAUUUUAAUGUUUCCUCAGAGUGAUGUAAACCUAAAGACAUUUUUUUAGGAUGAAUGAAUGAGUUUAUGCUCACCGAUCUCUCAAUCUGUGGUGAAUAUUCUUUUGGAAAAACCAACAUGGUGCAAAUCUUUUGGUUUAUAAAACUAGCUGUAAACGUCAUCACACCAGCUUGGAACUGAAAGGAUGUCAGGGGAACAUGUUUUAAGAAAACAACCUUAAAAUGCAUUAGCUUCCUAUUACAAACCUUUUAUCCCAAUUAAAAAAUGGAAUCAAA
This is a long non-coding RNA of Homo sapiens (human), 6139 nucleotides long. RefSeq lists it as uncharacterized. The transcript is spliced from 2 exons. Lineage: Eukaryota; Metazoa; Chordata; Mammalia; Primates; Hominidae. The record is from RefSeq and is a predicted model, not a curated record.